Molecule: ribosomal RNA, 382 nt
Filed under: uncultured eukaryote
Lineage: Eukaryota
Description: partial 18S ribosomal RNA
Rfam family: Eukaryotic small subunit ribosomal RNA
Source: RNAcentral
UGUAAGCGUAUACCAAAGUUGUUGCAGUUAAAACGCUCGUAGUCGGAAUUUGGCAGUUCCGGAUGUGUGCACGUCGUGUGCGCACUUCGCGGGGAUUGCUUUUGUGGUCUUGCGUAGGAUGAGGCACUUUUAUUAGUGAACGUCCUCACGCAACCACUUUUUACUGUGAGAAAAUCAGAGUGCUCAAGGCAGGCAUUUGCCGUGAAUGUAUUAGCAUGGAAUAAUAGAAUAGGACUUGGUUCUAUUUUGUUGGUUUGUUGGGACUGAGUAAUGAUUAAGAGGGACAGCUGGGGGCAUUUGUAUUUCGGUGCUAGAGGUGAAAUUCUUAGAUUACCGAAAGACAAACUGCUGCGAAAGCGUCUGCCAAGGAUGUCUUCAUUGA